This 253-nucleotide ribosomal RNA is filed under the name uncultured bacterium. Its description in RNAcentral is "partial 16S ribosomal RNA". It matches the Rfam family "Bacterial small subunit ribosomal RNA", at positions 524 to 776 of the family's 1533-position model. The record is from RNAcentral.
UACGAACUGUGCAAACGUUAUUCGGAAUCACUGGGCUUAAAGGGUGCGUAGGCGGCGGGGUAAGUCAGGUGUGAAAUCUCGGGGCUCAACCCCGAAACUGCACUUGAUACUGCCUCGCUUGAGUACUGGAGAGGAGACUGGAAUUUACGGUGUAGCAGUGAAAUGCGUAGAUAUCGUAAGGAAGACCAGUGGCGAAGGCGAGUCUCUGGACAGUUACUGACGCUGAGGCACGAAGGCCAGGGGAGCAAACGGG